UACGUAGGUGGCGAGCGUUGUCCGGAUUUACUGGGCGUAAAGGGAGCGUAGGCGGACUUUUAAGUGAGAUGUGAAAUACUCGGGCUCAACUUGAGUGCUGCAUUUCAAACUGGAGGUCUAGAGUGCAGAAGAGGAGAGUGGAACUCCAUGUGUAGCGGUGAAAUGCGUAGAUAUAUGGAAGAACACCAGUGGCGAAAGCGGCUCUCUGGUCUGUAACUGACGCUGAGGCUCGAAAGCGUGGGGAGCAAACAGG
This 253-nucleotide ribosomal RNA is filed under the name uncultured bacterium. Its description in RNAcentral is "partial 16S ribosomal RNA". It matches the Rfam family "Bacterial small subunit ribosomal RNA", at positions 524 to 776 of the family's 1533-position model. The record is from RNAcentral.